GAUGAACGCUAGCGGCAGGCCUAAUACAUGCAAGUCGAACGGUGUCUUCGGACAUAGUGGCGCACGGGUGCGUAACACGUAUGCAACCUACCUUACAUUGGGGGAUAGCCUUUCGAAAGGGAGAUUAAUACCGCAUAAGACAGUAGCUGGGCAUCCAGCAGCUGUUAAAGAUUUAUCGAUGUAAGAUGGGCAUGCGUCCAAUUAGUUAGUUGGCGAGGUAAUGGCUCACCAAGACGAUGAUUGGUAGGGGAACUGAGAGGUCAAUCCCCCACACUGGCACUGAGAUACGGGCCAGACUCCUACGGGAGGCAGCAGUAGGGAAUAUUGGGCAAUGGGCGCAAGCCUGACCCAGCCAUGCCGCGUGCAGGAAGAAGGCGUUCUGCGUUGUAAACUGCUUUUAUAUAGGAAGAAACGGCCCUUGCGAGGGACAUUGACGGUACUAUAUGAAUAAGCACCGGCUAACUCCGUG
Molecule: ribosomal RNA, 469 nt
Filed under: uncultured bacterium
Lineage: Bacteria
Description: bacterial SSU rRNA
Rfam family: Bacterial small subunit ribosomal RNA
Source: RNAcentral